Long non-coding RNA from Apis mellifera (honey bee), 2269 nucleotides. RefSeq lists it as uncharacterized. The record is from RefSeq and is a predicted model, not a curated record. Lineage: Eukaryota; Metazoa; Arthropoda; Insecta; Hymenoptera; Apidae. The transcript is spliced from 4 exons.
AUAUUUUGUUUAAUUUUUUGAAUUAUUAAAAAUCUAUUUUUUUCAGCAUCGAUGAAAUGUCAUCAGAGGAGAGAUAUGCCAUAUUCUAAUAUAAUGAAAACAAAAAUAAAUAAACAAAAAGAAAAAGAAACACUAAAGGACUACCAGGACGUUCGUCGAGCUAUUUCACAGUUUCGUUUAUUGCGACUCUCGCGAUUAUUGCGCCAUCGAUCGGGAGAAUACGGUAAACUCGCGAUUGGCGAGUCGUGAUAAUUACGAAGGAUACGUUUCAGGAAAAAAAAGGGUUGAGUGUGGUUAAGCUCUGGUGAAUGUCGAUGAGUUUUUCGAGAGUUUUGGAGAGAUGAAAUAUUCGAGUGCUUUCCGGAAUUAAGCGCGCUUUCUUUGCGGUCGAUUACAAAGUGUCGAAGUUAGGUUAUGUCGAUUUUGCGUUUCUUAAAGUAGAAUGCUUUUUGCGAGAGCAAACUUCUCGUCGAAUAUUCUUCUCGAAAUUAUUAUAUUCACAAAUUUAUAUUUCAGAAAAAGGGGAAAAGAAAGAAACGCGAGUGUCACGCUUCUCGGAGAGAGUACACUUCCCCCUAAACACAUAGAAAGAUACUCUUGUUCCGCGCCAGGUCAACGACACUUUAACUGAUCUCAAUUCCGUAUAACCGAGAGCUAAUUGUAUCAAAGUGGAAAGGAGGAAACGGCAAAGUGGAAAACGUUUCCACGUAACUCGAUCAACGUCAAGGUGUCCACCCAUGUUACCACGUCUACGACCAGUCUGACCACUUAUCGACAUCUGUAAAUGCACCUUGAACGGGUCCAACGACGACUUUAUCCAUCGUUGUUGAUUCACCGCCAGUUAUCGAUAAAUUAACGCGGCGUAAACUUGACGCCUUAUCGCGCGUUUGGCCACGCCUCUCUCCCUUUCUGUACCGAAAACGGGAGAUCGUGGGAUGGACGUGUGUUGCAAUGCCGAUAACGAUAACGAUGCAUCGCCGACCAUGGUUUGCGGGAAACGAUCGCCCACAGUUUUCGUUUACAAAAUCCAUCGAACACAUCGAAGUAACAUCGAGGUAAACGUUGGCAGAGCCAUCGAUACGAAAGAUGAUUCGGAUGCGGUGCACAGAAGAAACGCUGGCGCUGAAGUUCCGGGUGAAAUGAACGCUUUGCAUGCGCGGUAUCGAGCCUUCCCCAUAAAGCUUAAUUGCGAUUGAAGGUCUUCGGCAUAACCCGGACAUGGAUUAAGGUGCAACCAUAGAAGCAUACACGUUACAAAGUGCCGGUUACCGGUUUCAAGCGUUUAUUAAUGCAAUAACGAUAAACUUGCACCAUAAUUCGCCUCAUUUCAUUUUAAUCUUAAGUCUAGCGUUCUACAUUAUCAUUCGAGAACACGUAGAAGCAAAGGGUCCUUUAAAACGCGAUCCCAUCGAAAUAAAGCGUUUCAAAUACGAUUGUUAUAUAAUUAAUGUAAUAUUACAUAACAAUCAAAUUACACAAUAUAUAAUAUUACAAUACAAUACAAUAAUGUAAAUAAUUUUAACCUUACCUCAAAUACAUUGAUAAAUUAAUUUUGAUCUUGAAUUUCAAAAAUUUUUUUAUUAUAUUUCAUUCGAUCUGCAGAAUCGAUCUUCGAAAAACGACUCUAUCGAAAUAUUUUUUUUCAAAAGAUUCGAUCGUCAAGAUUUGACUUUUAAAACUGCAAAAAUAUCCCGUUAACCUUUCAGAUUAUUAAAUUCCUUCGUCGACGAGGAAACUUAAUGUCCCUCGAGUUAUCUCGUUGAAUCACGAGUCAAGCUCACUUUGAACGCGAGGGAAGAUGCACAAAGGUGCCGAAACCGUUUUUUUCCCACCCUCUGGCGAAUGAGUUUAGAAAGGGUUAACGCGCUCCUGGCCAUUCGAGUAUAUAGGGUGGAAGGAACCACAAUUUCGCCAACAAUGCGGGUUAGCUUCAUCGGCGCGUCACUAUAUGAAGAUUCUUUAGGGGGGGAGGAGCGUUUAGAAGGAGACGUUUGAAUUACUGGCUAUGUAAUCGCGCUAAAAUAUGGCGGACGGAGAAGUGUAUUAGGAGAUGAUAAUGAUUGAUGAUAAUUCAAUCUUAUCAUCGAAUAAUUUCCAUAACGUAGUCGUAUUUUAUUUUAUUUUUCGAUCUUUGAAUUUAAUUUAAUUAAUUUUACGAUCGAACAGUUUCUUCUGAAUUUAAGUGAAAUUAUCAUACGUUUUGAAUCGCAAGAAACAAUAUUUCGUUAUAUUUUAUAUUUUUAAAAAUUUUUAAGUAUUGUUUUAGUGA